AUCGCGAGAUCAGGAAGGUGGCCGAGUGUGUCGCCGCGGCCAUCAGGCACUUCUCCUUCCUGCCCUUGUAUGAAGAAGGAUGUGUUUGCUUCCCCUUGUGCCAUGAUUGUAAAUUUCCUGAGGCCUCCUCAGCCCUGCAGAACUGGGGUUAUAGCCAUGUGACUGAUCUUCGUCCAAGAAUAUGUAAAGAAAAAGUGUUGAGUUGGCUUUUAGGGCUAGAGCAAUGUAUCUUAGGCUCACUUAAGGAAGCUGUAGAGAUGAGCCCAAGGAGGGAAACCAGAAGAGCCCCCCAGGCUCACCAGUUGUUUGUUGGCUCCCUACAAACAUGUCAUUCAAGUGGCUAAUCUUACAACAGCACAAAUUCAUCUAACCAGCAGAAAGAGAAGAGGAGGCUCCAAAGGCACUUGACUACUGAGCAUCACCCUGGACGUGUACAAGUCUGCGUCCUUAUUGUUUUCUUCAUUGGGCCGAACUUUCUGGUCCUCAUCCAACAGCUCUUCUAUCACGUGUUCGAAAGUGUCAGCCAAUGAUGUCAAGCCUCUUGAACCUGCCUUGGGCCCAUUCACGCUCUCCAGAGUCCCAUGGGUCCGCACACCUGGAGAUACUCUAUUAUAGCAAAGAAGAAAGAUAAUUUCAUUGAGCCAUCCUGUUUUACAGGAAAUUCUGCAAGUGGCAACGUGGGUCCAUUCCGUGUGUGUCACUAGAGCUGGCGCAAGCCCAUGGCCAUGGUGAGGCAGCGUUUCCACUGGAACUAAUCUGAUACCUGCACCAGCUCUUGCAACUGUGCAGUGUUCCCACUGCAAACUACGGAUGGGGUAAAAGACUGCUCACCUCCUAUUUCUCAUCUAAUCUCACACACUCUGUUUGAUGAGGCUAUGGAGAAACAGGUCUUCUCAUACACUAAAGGUGGGAGUACAAACAAUUCAAGCCCUGUGCAGGACAAUUAGGCAAUACCUAUCAAAAUUAUACAUGAUUUUUCCUGCUGACCCAGCAAUUCCACUUCUGGGAAUAAUUGACAGAUAUAGGUGCAUAUGUACAAAAUGAUGGAAAGCUCUCUGGUAUAUAUUAGUAAGUGAUAAAACAAGGUGUAAAAUAGUGUAUAUAUGGCUACUACCUUUUGUUUUAAAAAUGGGGGAAAAUGGUGGAGCUUGCGGUGAGCCGAGAUCGUGCCACUGCACUCCAGCCUGGGCGACAGAGCGAGACUCCGUCUCAAAAAAAAAACAGGGUGGGGUGGGGGGGAAAUAAUAGUACAUACUCAUAUUUACCUGUAUCUAUAUAAAACACACUAUCAAGGAUUCACAAGAAACUAAUACAAAUGAUCACCUUAUAGAUGGUAUGUAUUGGGGGAUACUGAGGUGAGCAGGGUAUAAGUGGGGCAAGACUUUUCAGUGUAAACUUCUUUUAAAUUUUAUUUUGAUUUUUGAAUAAUGUAAAUUAACUGUCAAAUAAUUAAAUUAAAAAUAACCAAUUUAUUAACAAAA
This 1481-nucleotide long non-coding RNA is filed under the name Homo sapiens (human). RNAcentral's name for it is "BDNF antisense RNA". The record is from RNAcentral. Lineage: Eukaryota; Metazoa; Chordata; Mammalia; Primates; Hominidae.